This is a non-coding RNA of Danio rerio (zebrafish), 712 nucleotides long. The record is from RefSeq and is a predicted model, not a curated record. NCBI's taxonomy places the organism in Eukaryota, Metazoa, Chordata, Actinopteri, Cypriniformes, Danionidae.
ACACCCCGAACACACACUCCAUAAAGCCGAGCAGAGAGCGACACACACGCACACUCACCCAGCAGAAGAUCAUAGAUACAGUUUAGACUACAGUGACCAGAGCUGCACUGAUCUUUGUCUGAUUUUACGAAGAUGGUCUUUAAUGGUUUGAGCACAAGAUUUCCCCAAAAGGAUUAUAUAUUCCCUGAUGCCACGUACAUUAUUCUUCGAGGAAUUGCCAACUAAAUGAUAGUGCCUAAAAUAAGGGCUGAAGGUCACCUUUAAUUUACGUCUGGAAGCAGGUGAGAAAACGCAUUUCUGCCUUUCAAGGAGAUGUAACUGAACAUAAACAAGCUCUCGGGCUUGUGGAUGAUCAUGGGAUAUAAUAUUUGUUCUGGAGAAAAGUGGAAGCGGAUCAACGGAAAUGGAUACACGUGAAUAUUGAGCUGUAAUUCAGUGAACAGAAUGUUUAUUUGUCUCAUUUUGAAGUAUCAAUCUUGUGCGUAAAACGCGCGUCUCCAAAAGCGCCCCAGGAAUAUUCUUCAUGAAAUCUGAUUAAAUUCGCAAGAAAAUACAUAUAUGAAACAACUGCACACGAUCUUUUCUUGUAUUUGUCACAAGCAUAUAACCUAAUACCAAUUAUUUGUUUCCAAAAUGUUCUGGGAAUGUUAAACUUGGUUUGCAGAACGUGUGUUUUUGAAUUAGGCUAUUUAAAUAAACUUCAAUAACUUAC